UACGGAGGGGGCCAGCGUUGUUCGGAAUCAUUGGGCGUAAAGGGCGCGUAGGCGGCCGAGCAAGUCGGAUGUGAAAUACCCCGGCUCAACUGGGGAACUGCAUCCGAAACUGCUUGGCUUGAGUCCUGGAGAGGGUAGUGGAAUUCCCAGUGUAGCGGUGAAAUGCGUAGAUACUGGGAGGAACACCGGUGGCGAAGGCGGCUACCUGGACAGGUACUGACGCUGAGGCGCGAAAGCUAGGGGAGCAAACAGG
RNAcentral lists this ribosomal RNA (253 nucleotides) under uncultured bacterium. Its description in RNAcentral is "partial 16S ribosomal RNA". It matches the Rfam family "Bacterial small subunit ribosomal RNA", at positions 524 to 776 of the family's 1533-position model. RNAcentral also lists the same sequence under 1 other name. The record is from RNAcentral.